RNAcentral lists this ribosomal RNA (313 nucleotides) under uncultured bacterium. Its description in RNAcentral is "bacterial SSU rRNA". It matches the Rfam family "Bacterial small subunit ribosomal RNA", at positions 29 to 337 of the family's 1533-position model. The record is from RNAcentral.
AACGAACGCUGGCGGCGUGGAUAAGACAUGCAAGUCGCGCGGAACAUUGCUGGUAGCAAUAUUAGCAAUGUUUAGCGGCAAACGGGUGCGUAACACGUAGCUCACCUACCUUCGAGUGGGGGAUAACUCCGAGAAAUCGGAAUUAAUACCGCAUGUGGUUGUAAGACCAAAGCCGGGGACCUAAGGCCUGGCGCUUGAAGAUGGGGCUGCGGCCUAUCAGCUUGNGGCGGGGUAACGGCCCACCAAGGCGAUGACCGGGUAGCUGGUCUGAGAGGACGACCAGCCACAGUGGAACUGAGACACGGUCCACACA